Molecule: long non-coding RNA, 1371 nt
Organism: Patella vulgata (common limpet)
Lineage: Eukaryota; Metazoa; Mollusca; Gastropoda; Patellidae
Exons: 3
Source: RefSeq, a predicted model, not a curated record
AUAUAAAUGACCCAAAUGGUUCUAAUAUACCACGUGUGAGUCAGACUACUAAUACUUUUGUUGUUAAUAUUUUGAGAGACAAGCCCAGUGUAAUAUAUUUGUGAAUGACGUGUUUUGGUAAUGAAAGAACUAAUUAUAUUUAUGUAUUUGUGAAAGACGGGCUUUAGAUUAACACAUACACAGGCAACGAAUUUAUAGCAAUAACAUUUUUAUUAACCAAACAAAGGGUUGGUUAUAUUUGGUUGGAAGUUAUAAUAUUAUAUUGAAAUAUCGCGCUAUUUAUUUAUUCUGGAAUACCCAUAGCUGGUCAACAGUGCAAUGUAUAAACAUGCAUGCGUGAUAAUAAUAGAUGUGUUUUAAAAUUCUUUUCCUCAAAGCAAUGAAAGGAUAGUAUCUUUUGGUUAUUUCACUCUGGAUUGUUUUUUGUUAUUUCGGGCACUUUGUAAAGAAAGGAUUUAACAGUAGUUUAUUCGGUUGCAGAUAAAAUAUGGUUUUCAAGAUGAAGACAACGAUGUUGUUAUUAAUGUUACUGGUCACGGUCUUUGCAAAGCCUCCGAAUUUCAUUACAGGCAAGAAGCAAAACCAAUUUCCAAUGUUUUCCAAAGGGGUGGGUUUCCUAAUUAAAAUCCUAUGUGCUUAUCACAAAGCAAUAGGAACAAAGCCUAUGCCAAGUUAUUGUUUUUAUGGCAAAGCCAAAUUAAAUCGACCUGGACCUGGACAAUUCAGAUAAAAUAACUCGCUUUUAACUGGAUAACCAAAUAAAAAAAUCUAAUAGCAACCAAUCUGACAAUUAGUCGUUCUAAGGCACUUUAAGUUUAUGAUUGGGUGAAUGAAAAAGACAAGUGGUACAAUAGAACAAUUGCCGGGUUGUUUUUUUCAUGAGUGGACUAAAAAUUUGAAUAUGUAAUUUUGAAUCAAUCGAUUUCCGUCCAGAUGUCAGAACAUUGUGGUCUGAAGAAAUCUCUAGCGUGACCAAUGAUAUCUACCCUUUAACGUUUAAUUAUACUGGUGAGGUUUAAGCCCAAUUUCCGGUUGGGCAUGAUUCGGACAGUGUUCAUCGGAACUUAACGACUCCGAGCCAAUUAGUUGUCCAGACGAAAGAUAUUGAAUACAGAAUCUCAAGCAAACGGUACACAAUGGGAUAGAUAUUUUCCCGAAGUUUAGAUUUACGAUGAUUACCGAGAAUUGAGAUUAAAAACGAAGCUAGUUUAACCGAACUAGUUGAUGGUGAGACAAAUGGUAGUUUGUAAAAGAUAAAAAAAUGAUUGACUCACUGUAAAUAGAAAUGUGAAAGACUAUGUCGUAUAUUAAAACGUUAGAAGAGUAGUAAUGUUGUGUAAUUAGUUGUAAAUAAUGUGUAUGUAUAUAUUA